RNAcentral lists this ribosomal RNA (1001 nucleotides) under Streptomyces mutabilis. Its description in RNAcentral is "bacterial SSU rRNA". It matches the Rfam family "Bacterial small subunit ribosomal RNA", at positions 32 to 1044 of the family's 1533-position model. Lineage: Bacteria; Bacillati; Actinomycetota; Actinomycetes; Kitasatosporales; Streptomycetaceae. The record is from RNAcentral.
AAAGCGUGGCGUUGAGCUUAUACAUGCAGUCGACGAUGAACCACCUUCGGGUGGGGAUUAGUGGCGAACGGGUGAGUAACACGUGGGCAAUCUGCCCUGCACUCUGGGACAAGCCCUGGAAACGGGGUCUAAUACCGGAUACUGAUCCUCGCGGGCAUCUGCGAGGUUCGAAAGCUCCGGCGGUGCAGGAUGAGCCCGCGGCCUAUCAGCUUGUUGGUGAGGUAAUGGCUCACCAAGGCGACGACGGGUAGCCGGCCUGAGAGGGCGACCGGCCACACUGGGACUGAGACACGGCCCAGACUCCUACGGGAGGCAGCAGUGGGGAAUAUUGCACAAUGGGCGAAAGCCUGAUGCAGCGACGCCGCGUGAGGGAUGACGGCCUUCGGGUUGUAAACCUCUUUCAGCAGGGAAGAAGCGAAAGUGACGGUACCUGCAGAAGAAGCGCCGGCUAACUACGUGCCAGCAGCCGCGGUAAUACGUAGGGCGCAAGCGUUGUCCGGAAUUAUUGGGCGUAAAGAGCUCGUAGGCGGCUUGUCACGUCGGUUGUGAAAGCCCGGGGCUUAACCCCGGGUCUGCAGUCGAUACGGGCAGGCUAGAGUUCGGUAGGGGAGAUCGGAAUUCCUGGUGUAGCGGUGAAAUGCGCAGAUAUCAGGAGGAACACCGGUGGCGAAGGCGGAUCUCUGGGCCGAUACUGACGCUGAGGAGCGAAAGCGUGGGGAGCGAACAGGAUUAGAUACCCUGGUAGUCCACGCCGUAAACGGUGGGCACUAGGUGUGGGCAACAUUCCACGUUGUCCGUGCCGCAGCUAACGCAUUAAGUGCCCCGCCCUGGGGAGUACGGCCGCAAGGCUAAAACUCAAAGGAAUUUGACGGGGGCCCGCACAAGCGGCGGAGCAUGUGGCUUAAUUUCGACGCAACGCGAAGAAACCUAACAAGGCUUGACAUACACCGGAAAACCCUGGAGACAGGGUCCCCCUUGUGGUCUGUUGUACAGGUGGUUGC